AUGCCACCUUGGGAGCGCUUCCGGGAGCUCUAUCUCCUCCGUUUUGGGCCUCCUAUCCGCGGGAGCCGACUGGCGGCCCUCGGUCGUUUACCGUUCACAUCUACGGUGCAGGACUACGCCGACCGCUUCCAGGCCCUGGCGUGCCACGCGCCGGGCGUCUCCGCGACCCAGCGCGCCGAGCUCUUUGUGGGCGGUCUACCGGACCAUAUCCGCGUGGACGUCGAGCUCCAGGAUCCCCCCGACCUCCAGACGGCCAUGUACUACGCCCGGGCCUUCGAGCAACGGGCCCAGGCACUGCAGCAGCCACUCGGACGGAGUGGUCGCCAGCCUAGUCGGCCAGCGCCGACUUCCUCAACCUCGGGUCGGCCUCUUCCAGCCGCGACGGCCACACCCCCGGCCGCCACACGGCCCUUCCGUCGGCUGUCACCGGCCGAGCAGCAGGAGCGUCGUCGUCAGGGUCUCUGCUUCAACUGCGAUGAGCCCUACACGCCGACCCAUGUAUGCCCCCGCCUCUUAUUUAGAGACGGUCGACUACACCGAGGAGGACGACUCACCCGACCCUUUACAUCCGCCUCGGCGACCGAGGACGCGGCCGCGGAUUCCGCAGCGACGGCGUGCGUCGUCUCCCUUCACGCCCUGGCCGGCAUCCGGGGCGAGCGGACCAUGCUGCUGCCCGUGACGAUCCAUGGCAAGCGACUGGUGGCCCUGCUGGCGAUACAUCAAGAUUGUAUCACCUCAAGAACACGAGAGAGAGAGAGAGAUCAAACACAUAGCUACUGGGACAUACCCUCAGCCCCGAGGGAGAACUACUCCCUCCUCGUCAUGGAGAGCACCGGGAUGAUGAAGAUGGCCACCGGAGAAGGAUUGCCCCCUCUGGCAGGGUGCCGGAACGAGUCUAGAUUGGCUUUCAGUGGCUACGGAGGCUUCUGGCGGCGGAACUCCUGA
This 945-nucleotide ribosomal RNA is filed under the name Triticum aestivum (bread wheat). RNAcentral's name for it is "partial small subunit ribosomal RNA". Lineage: Eukaryota; Viridiplantae; Streptophyta; Magnoliopsida; Poales; Poaceae. The record is from RNAcentral.